CAACGUUCUGAGCUUUUGCUACUGGAACUCUCGAGAUUCACUAUCAACAUGCAGAUCCACUGGUUCUCUGUUCACCUAGGACACUGACGAAAGCAUCAAAGAGAUGGAACGUGAGCAGCGGCUCCUUCAGCAAGCUUAGUCAAAUGAUGGUCUGAUGUAUCUCAACAAGCAAGACCCAUUGCCAGAAUUGGUGCUUAGCAGGGGGCUUCUUUGGAUAUGGCUUCAGGGGUGAGGAAGGAGGAAAUCUAAAUCCAAGAAGAAAUAUUCUAUUAAUGCAGACAGUAGGAGAUAGGGGUUUUUCAGCACUCAGUGCUGGGCCUCACACACCAGGCAGGCACCCCACCACCGAGCUAUGCCGCAGGCACCCGUGAGCACUUUUAUAAGUACUUCUCCAAAGGACUAAUUCUCCUUCCCUUGAAUAUCCAACACGUCACACAGAGAUUGAAAUACCAACCAAGAAAUCCAUCUUCAGGGAGCUAGAAACCUGUCUGGAAUCCUUUUCUGCUCUCUCCAUACUGCUCCUCUUCCUGGACCCCCUGCUUAUCAGAGCCGUUCCACCUUGAACAUAAAAACUCUCUCCUGAAAAUGGAUUGCACUGCACCAAUAAAGAACUAAUCCUAAAUACA
Molecule: long non-coding RNA, 626 nt
Organism: Peromyscus eremicus (cactus mouse)
Lineage: Eukaryota; Metazoa; Chordata; Mammalia; Rodentia; Cricetidae
Exons: 4
Source: RefSeq, a predicted model, not a curated record